GACGAACGCUGGCGGCGUGCCUAAUACAUGCAAGUAGAACGCUGAAGCUUGGUGCUUGCACCGAGCGGAUGAGUUGCGAACGGGUGAGUAACGCGUAGGUAACCUGCCUGGUAGCGGGGGAUAACUAUUGGAAACGAUAGCUAAUACCGCAUAAGAGUAGAUGUUGCAUGACAUUUGCUUAAAAGGUGCAAUUGCAUCACUACCAGAUGGACCUGCGUUGUAUUAGCUAGUUGGUGAGGUAACGGCUCACCAAGGCAACGAUACAUAGCCGACCUGAGAGGGUGAUCGGCCACACUGGGACUGAGACACGGCCCAGACUCCUACGGGAGGCAGCAGUAGGGAAUCUUCGGCAAUGGACGGAAGUCUGACCGAGCAACGCCGCGUGAGUGAAGAAGGUUGUCGGAUCGUAAAGCUCUGUUGUAAGAGAAGAACGAGUGUGAGAGAGGAAAGUUCACACUGUGACGGUAUCUUACCAGAAAGGGACGGCUAACUACGUG
This 497-nucleotide ribosomal RNA is filed under the name uncultured bacterium. RNAcentral describes it as "partial 16S ribosomal RNA". It matches the Rfam family "Bacterial small subunit ribosomal RNA", at positions 28 to 507 of the family's 1533-position model. The record is from RNAcentral.